Molecule: ribosomal RNA, 301 nt
Filed under: uncultured bacterium
Lineage: Bacteria
Description: partial 16S ribosomal RNA
Rfam family: Bacterial small subunit ribosomal RNA
Source: RNAcentral
CAGCAGCCGCGGGAAAACGGAGGGUGCAAGCGUUAGUCGGAAUUACUGGGCGUAAAGCGCACGCAGGCGGUUUGUUAAGUCAGAUGUGAAAUCCCCGAGCUUAACUUGGGAACUGCAUUUGAAACUGGCAAGCUAGAGUCUUGUAGAGGGGGGUAGAAUUCCAGGUGUAGCGGUGAAAUGCGUAGAGAUCUGGAGGAAUACCGGUGGCGAAGGCGGCCCCCUGGACAAAGACUGACGCUCAGGUGCGAAAGCGUGGGGAGCAAACAGGAUUAGAUACCCCUGUAGUCCCUGUCUCUUAUAC